Molecule: ribosomal RNA, 460 nt
Filed under: Marinilactibacillus sp. G11.53
Lineage: Bacteria; Bacillati; Bacillota; Bacilli; Lactobacillales; Carnobacteriaceae
Description: bacterial SSU rRNA
Rfam family: Bacterial small subunit ribosomal RNA
Source: RNAcentral
GCAGUCGACGAUGAAUCCUCUGCUUGCAGAGGAUGGAUUAGUGGCGAACGGGUGAGUAACACGUGGGUAACCUGCCCAUAAGAGGGGGAUAACAUUCGGAAACGGAUGCUAAUACCGCAUAUCUCUUCGAGACGCCUGUCUCUUAGAUGAAAGGUGGCUUCGGCUGCCGCUUAUGGAUGGACCCGCGGCGUAUUAGCUAGUUGGUGAGGUAAUGGCUCACCAAGGCUGUGAUACGUAGCCGACCUGAGAGGGUGAUCGGCCACACUGGGACUGAGACACGGCCCAGACUCCUACGGGAGGCAGCAGUAGGGAAUCUUCCACAAUGGGUGAAAACCUGAUGGAGCAAUACCGCGUGAGUGAAGAAGGUCUUCGGAUCGUAAAGCUCUGUUGUUAGAGAAGAAUAAGUCGGGUAGUAACUGCCCCGGCCUUGACGGUAUCUAACCAGAAAGUCACGGCUAAC